Molecule: long non-coding RNA, 621 nt
Filed under: Phoenix dactylifera (date palm)
Lineage: Eukaryota; Viridiplantae; Streptophyta; Magnoliopsida; Arecales; Arecaceae
Description: long non-coding RNA (PDAC_LNC019418)
Source: RNAcentral
GGGAUUGGCCGAACCCAUCAUCAUGUAGCUCUUCCGUGCCCCGUCCGGAAGCCCUGCGCUUUAUCCGAAAACUCUCGAACCAGAGAGGAGCGCGAGAGCGAGAGAUCGAUCGAAGAUGGCAGCGGUGGUGGCUCUCCAGAGCUCCAUGGCGUCCCUCUCCCUCGUCUCCAACUCCUUUUUGGGCCAGCGCUUCUCUCCCUCUUGCUUCCCCUCGCCGGUUAGCUCUCUCCUCCCUUCUCUCCUCUUUGAUCGUUUCUUCCAUCUCCUUCGUUGGCUUUGAUUCAUUCUUUGAAUCUAUUAGUAUUCUUCUUAACCGGAUGUUUCUUGGAACUUUAAGAGUUAUUAUCUUUAAUUUUUUGGCCUUGUUGUCGAUGGGCUAAAUGAUAGUUUUAUUUUUUGAUACUUUAUUAAUUUAUCGUUUUAUUAUCUGAGAAACUUUGAUUUGUGGUGGAAUUUAAUGUAAAUCGAGGGCCUUUUAUUGGUCAAUUGAAGCCCAUUUUUUGGUUAUUACCAGCAUACAGCGCGCACGACGCACAUCUACUAACAAAAAAAGAAAGAUCAGAUAAAAAUAGCAAAUAACAAUGUAUGUAUGUAUGUAUUGAAGGUGUAGAAAGACCUAAU